Long non-coding RNA from Haliotis rubra (blacklip abalone), 144 nucleotides. RefSeq lists it as uncharacterized. The transcript has 3 exons. NCBI's taxonomy places the organism in Eukaryota, Metazoa, Mollusca, Gastropoda, Lepetellida, Haliotidae. The record is from RefSeq and is a predicted model, not a curated record.
UAGUGGUACAAAGGUUGCCCUAUAGAAUAUUCAUCAAGUAAUGUUGAUUCUUUGGCCAAGGAAAAUGAAAUAUUAUGGAAGCGUGUAAUAAUAUAUACAUGUGUGUGUGUGUGUGUGUGUGUGUGUUUUGAAUCAUAUCACAUA